UUUGAUAGGGUUCGGAAUCGAACGAGAAGUGGAAUGGAAUCAGAUGUGAUGAGAGGAAUCUCGAAAUAGAAGUGGAUGAAAGAAAAGAGAAACACCACGGAAGGAAGGGAGAAGAAGAAAGUUUUCCGAUUGCUGUAAAAUUUCUUUUCAGGGUUCGGAAUGGAACGAGAAGUGGAAUGGAAUCAGAUGUAAUGAGAGGAAUCUCGAAAUAGAAGUGGAUGAAAGAAAAGAGAAACACCAUGAAAGGAAGGGAGAAGAAGAAAGUUUUCCGAUUGCUGUAAAAUUUCUUUUCAGGGUUCGGAAUGGAACGAGAAGUGGAAUGGAAUCAGAUGUAAUGAGAGGAAUCUCGAAAUAGAAGUGGAUGAAAGAAAAGAGAAACACCAUGAAAGGAAGGGAGAAGAAGAAAGUUUUCCGAUUGCUGUAAAAUUUCUUUUCAGGGUUUGGAAAGGAACGAGAAGUGGGAUGGAAUCAGAUGUAAUGAGAGGAAUCUCCAAAUACAAGUGGAUGAAAGAAAAGAGAAACACCAUGAAAGGAAGGGAGAAGAAGAAAGUUUUCCGAUUGCUGUAAAAUUUCUUUUUAGGGUUUGGAAUGGAACGAGAAUUGGAAUGGAAUCAUAUGAAUCUCGAAAUAGAAGUGGAUGAAAGAAAAGAGAAGCACCAUGAAAGGAAGCAAAAAGAAGAAUGUUUUCCGAUUGCAGAAAAAUUUCUUUUCAGGGUUCGGAAUGGAACGAGAAGUGGAAUGGAAUCAGAUGAAUCUUGAAAUAGAAGUGGAUGAAAGAAAAGAGAAACACCAUGAAAGGAAGGGAAAAGAAGAAUAUUUUCCGAUAGCAGCAGAAUUUCUUUUCAGGUAUUGUAAAAUGUAUUUACAAUACUUGCAUCAUUCAAGGCAUGUUAUACCAUUUAACAUUGAUGUGUAAUGCAAGGUAUGUGUUUUCUCUUUGAUAGGGUUUUUAAUGGAACGAGAAGUGGAAUGGAAUCAGAUGAAUCUCGAAAUAGAAGUGGAUGAAAGAAAAGAGAAGCACCAUGAAAGGAAGCAAAAAGAAUAAUGUUUUCCGAUUGCAGAAAAACUUCUUUUCAGGGUUUGGAAUGGAACGAGAAGUGGAAUGGAAUCAGAUGAAUCUCGAAAUAGAAGUGGAUGAAAGAAAAGAGAAGCCCCAUGAAAGGAAGGGAAAAGAAGAAUAUUUUCCGAUAGCAGCAAAAUUUCUUUUCAGGGUUUGGAAUGGAACGAGAAGUGAAAUGGAAUCAGAUGAAUCUCGAAAUAGAAGUGGAUGAAAAAAAAGUGAAACACGAGAAAGGAAGGGAAAAGAAGAAUAUUUUCCGAUAGCAGCUAAAUUUCUUUUCAGGGUUUGGAAUGGAAC
This is a non-coding RNA of Parasteatoda tepidariorum (common house spider), 1357 nucleotides long. The record is from RefSeq and is a predicted model, not a curated record. NCBI's taxonomy places the organism in Eukaryota, Metazoa, Arthropoda, Arachnida, Araneae, Theridiidae.